Molecule: long non-coding RNA, 724 nt
Filed under: Ornithorhynchus anatinus (platypus)
Lineage: Eukaryota; Metazoa; Chordata; Mammalia; Monotremata; Ornithorhynchidae
Description: lncRNA (ENSOANG00000049348.1)
Source: RNAcentral
AUGCCACCCGGCACCUGCAUGCCAGGAGCCUUUCUUUGGGUCGCCCCCAAGUUCCCAAACCGUUUCCAAAAGAAAAGCAAAGAAACGCUCCUCUCCGACGAUGGAAGUCCUGGCACUGCCUCCAGCUUGGCUCUCUUCAUCUUCUCCUUCUUCUGGCAGAGCCCCAGCAUCUCCAAGGAGACACAGCACCUAGAGCGGGCCAUGGCCAGCUGCCUCCCACCAGGAUUGUGCAUCUGAUUAAAGUGGCCAUUCUUCUUUCUGCCUGAGACCACGGACAGAUGAGAUCGCUGAAGACAGGAUAUUUCCAUGUGGCCUCGACACCCCCCUACCCUGAUCCCCUGGGAUGAGAAGUCACCACUGUCACCCAAUUAAAUCCAUGUGCAGAUGAGUGGCUACUGAGGCACUGGGUGAUUCAUUCUCUCCCAAGUUCAUCUGUGGUACACAACACUAUCUCUUACAUGGCGUAGAGCACAGGCUCUGUUUCCAAAUAAGUAUGCAGGAAAGAUCCUGUGGCAUCUCUCACCAUGGGCACAGCUUAACUUAGAUGUCAGAAAGAUGGAUGUCAUCAUAAAUGGUAUUUGGUCCACGUUUUGCCACUGUGAUCCCAGAACUUCAAACGAAAAGACCUUGUUAAGUCAGCACUGUUUGGUCCAACAGCGUAAAUACUCUCAUAAUCCUGUAAUGAUUUCCGAUCCUGAAAAAUGACUCUGUCUUUAGGCUUUCC